This 496-nucleotide ribosomal RNA is filed under the name Citrobacter sp. Cb018. Its description in RNAcentral is "bacterial SSU rRNA". It matches the Rfam family "Bacterial small subunit ribosomal RNA", at positions 1030 to 1526 of the family's 1533-position model. The record is from RNAcentral. Lineage: Bacteria; Pseudomonadati; Pseudomonadota; Gammaproteobacteria; Enterobacterales; Enterobacteriaceae.
UGAGACAGGUGCUGCAUGGCUGUCGUCAGCUCGUGUUGUGAAAUGUUGGGUUAAGUCCCGCAACGAGCGCAACCCUUAUCCUUUGUUGCCAGCGAUUCGGUCGGGAACUCAAAGGAGACUGCCAGUGAUAAACUGGAGGAAGGUGGGGAUGACGUCAAGUCAUCAUGGCCCUUACGAGUAGGGCUACACACGUGCUACAAUGGCAUAUACAAAGAGAAGCGACCUCGCGAGAGCAAGCGGACCUCAUAAAGUAUGUCGUAGUCCGGAUUGGAGUCUGCAACUCGACUCCAUGAAGUCGGAAUCGCUAGUAAUCGUGGAUCAGAAUGCCACGGUGAAUACGUUCCCGGGCCUUGUACACACCGCCCGUCACACCAUGGGAGUGGGUUGCAAAAGAAGUAGGUAGCUUAACCUUCGGGAGGGCGCUUACCACUUUGUGAUUCAUGACUGGGGUGAAGUCGUAACAAGGUAACCGUAGGGGAACCUGCGGUUGGAUCAC